RNAcentral lists this long non-coding RNA (2265 nucleotides) under Mytilus galloprovincialis (Mediterranean mussel). The record is from RNAcentral. Lineage: Eukaryota; Metazoa; Mollusca; Bivalvia; Mytilida; Mytilidae.
CUUUAUUUCAGUUUUUAGUCAUCGAAUUUUUAUUGAGCUUUUUGGUAAAAAACAUAUAAAACAUGUUGUGAGUAAUUGUUUUUCUGUUUUUAUAAACACUUCGUAUUGAGCAAGAAUAAGGAAUUAGUCAGGAUAUACUUUGCAUGACUUCCUGUACAACCCCCAUGUUAUUCCUAAAACAUUUAUCAUGUUUUUUGUCACAAGACGUAUCAUGCGCUCGUGACGCAGCUGUUUAUUAAGAUUCAUAUCGUGUUUAAGAAAAUAAUUCAUCAUAUGUAAGAUGAUGAACAUUUUGUACGUUAGACGCGCAUUUCGGCCGUAACAUUCUAACAAGUUAGCCUAAAAUACAAAACGUUAUCAACCCAUAUAAAAAAUAGGUUGAAGAUAUUGAAUAUUCAUCAUUCUUAUGUUUUAUUUAUUUUAAUUUUUAAUUGUAUUUCUCAUCUUUCCUUGUCGUAAAGAGAAUGGGUGUAUUCUAUUUGCGUCGAUUUCUUAAAUUUUCAAUCUUUCAUUUGCGCCGAUUGUGUACAGGUCAAUUUCAGGUUAAUGUUAUUUGUUAUUAUCAUUAUAAACCUCUUCUGUAAGCCAGUUGUACAUAUGUUAUGAAUUGUCAAAUAUAAUUGUUGUUCCCUGCAUUCCACAUUCCAAACUAAAAGACAAAUUAAAAGGGUUGGUAUUGCUUCGUUUCAUAAAAAAAAAUGGCCAACGUAGAUACAACUAUCUUGUCUUAGGGAGGGAUAAAUCCUACUUUAUAAAGGAUCACUCUGAUUCAAACAAAAAAUUCUCGGAAACUGACAUUAUCAAGAUGCUUGAUUUUUUUCUUGACAGCAUAUUUGUUACGUUCGGAUGACGUUUUUUUCGACAGACUACCGGCAUUUAAAUGGGUACCAUUUGCGCAUGUUUCCUUGUCGACUUGUUUCUUUAUUAUUAUGAGGCUGACUUCAUACAGGAAAUUCUUAAGAAGAAAGAUAAGAAGUUAGCAAUGUCUUUUAACUAUACUUUCCGCUAUAUAGAUGACGUUCUUUCACUAGAUAAUUAAAAAUGUGUUGACUAUGUUGAACGCAUCUAUCCCAUCGAACUAGAGUAAAGGAUACAACAGAUACAGUUAAGUCGGCCUCAUAUCUUGACUUACAUCUAAAAAUUGACAAUGAAAGUCGGUUGAAAACAAAACUUUACGACAAAAGAGAUGAUUUCAGCUUUCCAAUUGUGAACUUUCUAUUUCUAAGUAGCAACAUUCCAGCAGCACCCCUUCGUAAAUUUUACGGACACCAUCACGAGUUAGUUAACCGUUUCACAAAUUAUAUCGGAUAUAUUCCUUACGUCGGAACUACAAUUUUCUUCCCUUUCAUUAAUGUGACCUACCGAAUUAGAAUAUUUACCAGAUUUGUAAUAACAUAAGCAACACGACGGAAGUCACAUGUGGAGCAGGAUCUCCUUACCCUUCCAGAGCACCUGAGAUCACCCCUAGUUUUUGAUGGGGUUCGUGUUGCUUAUUCUUAAGUUUUCUAAGUCACCCAUGAAAUCGAGGUCUGCUUCACGUUUAUUAUUUUGUCUGAAGCUCCGUCUGACGACACAUUUCAUGCAUUCUAGGAUGUUGUACUUAUAUAUGCUCUACUUGACGUUAUCUGUCUCAUUGUUAGUCAGCAGCACGCGUUGAAAACUGAAAGAGGACGAAUAACGGUCCAGAUUUAAGUGGUUGUACACAAAGUGCCUUUAGUGUCUCAUAAGUCAGUAUUUAUGGCUGGAUAUUGAUUGUUUUAUGUGUAAAUAUUAUAAUUGUUGUAUAUGUUUUAUGGCAAUCAAUAUGUGACACUUUAAUAAACAAAUUUAUAUAUUAUAUAUCUUCUAAAUAGACUAAUCCUUCCCAGAAGCCUACUUUCACAGUCCCGUGGUGAGUAGGAUACAGCAGUUAUAUACAUGCUAUGAUUGACAAUUCAUGAAUAUAAACUGGCAAAAGGAAGAAGUUUAAUUUAUAAUGACCAAAACGCACCUGUAAUUUACAUGUACACAAUCGGUGCAAAUGAGCACAAAUGAAAUGCAAAUCGGCGCCAAUAGAAAAUGCCGAAGUAAGUCAAUACGAAAAAGUAAAGUUCAUGUUAUGUGAUAAGAUUGGACUUUAACAAAAUAUUAUUUAAGCUUUGUCAAAAUUUGAAAUAAACUUUAUCAACAUAUUCAAUGUUUUAUGUGACACUUUGGUACACGAUGAAGAUGGUACAUGGCAAGUUAAAUUUGAAAUUGGAUAUCUAAGGGACAUCUAACUUUCAU